GACGAACGCUGGCGGCGUGCUUAACACAUGCAAGUCGAACGGAAAGGCCCUGCUUUUGUGGGGUGCUCGAGUGGCGAACGGGUGAGUAACACGUGAGUAACCUGCCCUUGACUUUGGGAUAACUUCAGGAAGCUGGGGCUAAUACCGGAUAGGAGCUCUUGCUGCAUGGUGGGGGUUGGAAAGUUUCGGCGGUUGGGGAUGGACUCGCGGCUGAUCGGCUUGUUGGUGGGGUAGGGGAUUACCAAGGCUUUGACGGGUAGCCGGGCUGAGAGGGUGAGCGGCUAAGUCAGAUUGGGACUGCGACCCAGACCAAUAUGGGACGGGGCGGUGCAGAAGAGAAUACUACGGACUGGGCGCAAGUGUGACGCAGCCACGCGGGGGGAAAGGGGCUUCGGGUUGGAUAGCAAUAUCCCCUCAGACGAGGCGUGAGUGACGGUACUGGGAGAAGAAGCACCGGCUAACUACGUG
RNAcentral lists this ribosomal RNA (468 nucleotides) under uncultured bacterium. RNAcentral's name for it is "partial 16S ribosomal RNA". It matches the Rfam family "Bacterial small subunit ribosomal RNA", at positions 28 to 507 of the family's 1533-position model. The record is from RNAcentral.